UGCUUAUCUCAUAAUAACUUUUGGUGUAGCCAUGUAUGUAUAGCAAACUCCAAAGCACCCUUUUAGGUUAGUGAAGACAGUUUGUAACACUUUGGAAGGAACUUGUAGAAGAACGUUUAGAUGAAGCACCUGGAGGGAGCCUCAGUCUGUUUUCUCAGAGUUCUUGUAGUUAGAAUAUCCUUGUAAAUAAGUAAUAAAGAGAUCAUUUUUUUUUGAGAAGUAUGAAUCUCUUUCGUGUUACUAUCCAGCAUCUAUGAAACAUGGUGGCAAGAAAGAGGUCUAGCAAGAAUCACAACAAAACAAGUGAAUGUGGUUAACAGGAAAACAAAGAAGUACUAAGAGGCUAAAUAGGUGACUCAUACGAUAGGAAAUGAGAUAAUGAACAGAAAUAGAAGCCUGAGCUGAGGAAAGUGGAGAAACUCUUUGAAUUCUGUAACCUCAAAAGGCUUAUCUCAUGGAAAUUGUUCCUCUAGGCCUUGGGGGAGACUGGUCAGAGAAGAGGAUUUAACCCUCAAGGGUAAUCUACAAAUAAAGAGAAAUAGCAGAACUGAAACUUCAUGUGGAAGUGAUAAAGGAGUGUCAGCAGGAGGGAUGAAAACAAGUUCCUGUCUUGGAAUUGCGUCUCUAGAUAAGCAUUUUAUAAAUAUCACACAUACAUAGAUACACAUUUUAAGUGUUUGACUAGUCUUUUGUUCUAAACACCAACUGAAAAAGUUACUUAACGUUCUUACUUCUGGAACAUGAGGUUUUAAAGUAGCCAUUGAGUUUCAUUUUUUGUAAACUAGAAAGGUCCUCUAGCAAAUUCCACUACUCCGCAGUUUAUGGAUUUGGAUUAAAAUGGCAAUUGUGAGCAGCCUUGUUCAUCCCACUUUUUCAUCUCAUAAUAUAUCUUUUUGUUUCUCCAUAAAUUAAAUUAUAAUUCAUAAUUCUCUCUCUGAAUUAGCUUCCCACAGAGAUCCUUAUUAUAACAAAUGUAGUUGUUAUAACUUGUUUUAACAAUUUAGUCUAUAAAUUGGUAGAAAGCACUUUAUGUUUUUCUGUUAGUGAAAAGAACUUAUUUUUAAAGGGAAUUUAAAUGUAUUUUAUGUGUUACAUGCUGACUGGCUGAUAAAUUUUUGCAUAUCCAUCAUUACAGUACAUUAAGCAUGUAAUAACACAACAAAAAGGAAUACUAGCAGCAGACAUGAACAUGAAUUUGAAAACUAACAUUGAAGAGAAAAAAAAUAAUAUAAGACCAACCAAACAACAACAAAAAAACUAGCAAAGAUUUAUGCCGAUAUGUUAGGGUAUGUGGAAAUGUAUUUUAAUAAAUACACAGAUUUCAAAGAGAAACUAUUCCACAGAAGUAUUGAAAAACUGUCUUAUUAUACAGUGCUUAUCCUGCAGGCAGUUCUGAGUGGUAAGGCUUUAUUUAUAGAUAAAUAGAUAGUCAGACUGAUAUAUUUGUAUGCUAAGCUCUUCUUGAAGACUGCGUUUUUUUUUUGUUUUGUUCUGUUUUGUUUGUUUGUUUGUUUUUUAAGCUAUCCCUAAGCUGCCAGGAGCAGCUGGGCAAGAGUUGGCUGUUUGGCAGGGCUGUGGAACAGGCAGCUGCCGGUCCUGACACGGCUUCUUCCCUGGAGCCAGCACAGGGCUGCUCAGAGGCACCCUCUCAGUGCUACCCAUGAUCCAGCAGCCUGACCGCUCAGAGCCGAAGGAGACUGCAGACCUCCUUUGGGCACGUGGAGUCCUGACAUAGGCAAUACACCUUGCAUUGGGCAUUUUUAUGUCACUAGCCUUUUGUGAACAACCAAAAAAGCUUGUGACUGUGUCUUGAAUCUGAGCCCUCCAAAGUUAGAGAAAAUUCCAGUCCUCACAACCCCCAUUCUCUAAUUCUUUGUUCAUAUAAUUGGUUGAAAUAGGAUUGAUAAAGAUGAAGCAAAUUCAUGACUUUUAGAGUCUCAGAUGUCUAACUUAGUCUCCUAAGAAGAGAAACCUUGACAUUUCAUGUUAGUUCACAAAUAUGUCAAUAUUAAAGAUUAUUUUUAAAGUAGGGAUUACUCAAUGCCACCUUGGUCAUACCAACCUUCUGUAUUUAUGAACAAAUUAUUGACGAUCAUCAUGAGCAAAAAGCCCGUAUAUCUAGGCACUUUAACCCCAAAUGGUUUAUGUCACUUGGACAGGAAUAUUCUAAACAGCUUAAAAUAUUAAUUGAGUGAAACCUGUUGUCAUUCUGGUGAAAGGUCCAUUGCAAUUACUUCAUUAAUUUAUGUUCUGAUACCAUCACAGAAGAUCGUUUGAAUUAGAAUAUGUUCAUGUCUGAGUAACUUCAGCAAAGGUUUAUUUAACAACACGAACAGUUCAAAUUAAUCCUUCUUGUCUAUGAUGGAAAUAAAUCUCUCAAGGUUCUCUGGAAUGAAGCACAUAACAAGGUCAAAAGUGAGCAGCACAGAAAUCUGUCAGUCCAAAAACACGGAAAUCUCAUUUUAUAUAUAUACAUAUAUAUGUGUGUGUGUAAAUAACUCAUUGAAUUCACCCAACUUAAACCUUGUCUUUCUUAUGUAAGUCCUAGCAAUAAAAGGUAAGCAAUAAAAGGUAAGAAAUAACUAGUUUUUCAGGAAAUAGAACUCAUCACUUAUCUGUAAAUCUGACAGUCUAUGGGAGGGGACGCUGGGUGUGGAAUAUUUAAUUGCAACCAUACCACUAUUAAUGACAUUAAAAGUUCUUUAAAAGGUCAUUAAAAUCAUUGCCUGGUGGCAAUCUAGUAUGCUUCCCCUCUGCUCUCUAAGAAUAGUUGGUUUCCAUUUUAGUCUGUUUUGUUCAAUUAGGCUGUGUAAAAAGUAGGACACCAGACAAUAGAAACAUUUUUCUUUUCAGGAAUGAGCUCUUGGUACAUUUUGAAGAGAUCAAUGUCAGAGGGACCUAUAAAGUAACUUAUGCUACACAAUCUGAACCUGUGCUUCCCAGUUCCAGCACCCAUUUGUUUUUAUUUGGUCCUUAUUAAAUACU
Long non-coding RNA from Cygnus olor (mute swan), 2985 nucleotides. RefSeq lists it as uncharacterized. The transcript has 3 exons. The record is from RefSeq and is a predicted model, not a curated record. Lineage: Eukaryota; Metazoa; Chordata; Aves; Anseriformes; Anatidae.